UCCAGACUCCUACGGGAGGCAGCAGUGAGGAAUAUUGGUCAAUGGGCUUACGCCUGAACCAGCCAAGCCGCGUGAAGGAAGAAGGCGCCAAGCGUCGUAAACUUCUUUUGUCGGGGAACAAAGGGCGCCACGUGUGGCGUUGUGAGUGUACCCGAAGAAAAAGCAUCGGCUAACUCCGUGCCAGCAGCCGCGGUAAUACGGAGGAUGCGAGCGUUAUCCGGAUUUAUUGGGUUUAAAGGGUGCGUAGGCGGUCCGGAAAGCAAGGGUAAAAAGCCCGGGGCUCACCCCGGGCGAGCCGUUGAAACUGUCGGACUAGAGACGGCGAGAAGUACGCGGAAUGCGCGGUGUAGCGGUGAAAUGCAUAGAUAUCGCGCAGAACUCCGAUUGCGAAGGCAGCGUACCGGCGCCGGACUGACGCUGAGGCACGAAAGCGUGGGUAUCGAACAGGAUUAGAUACCCUAGUAA
RNAcentral lists this ribosomal RNA (465 nucleotides) under uncultured bacterium. RNAcentral describes it as "bacterial SSU rRNA". It matches the Rfam family "Bacterial small subunit ribosomal RNA", at positions 330 to 793 of the family's 1533-position model. The record is from RNAcentral.